This 774-nucleotide ribosomal RNA is filed under the name uncultured Neocallimastigales. Its description in RNAcentral is "partial large subunit ribosomal RNA". It matches the Rfam family "Eukaryotic large subunit ribosomal RNA", at positions 22 to 628 of the family's 3401-position model. The record is from RNAcentral. Lineage: Eukaryota; Fungi; Neocallimastigomycota; Neocallimastigomycetes; Neocallimastigales.
UACACGCUGUGACUAGCAUAUCAAUAAGCGGAGGAAAAGAAACUAACAAGGAUUCCCCUAGUAACGGCGAGUGAAGCGGGAAGAGCUCAAAUUUGAAAUCUUAAAGGGUUUCCCUUUACGAAUUGUAGUUUAAAGAAGUGUUUUCUGUUGAGGUUUUGGUAAAAGUUCUUUGGAAUAGGACAUCAUAGAGGGUGAGAAUCCCGUAUUUGACCUUUACUUUCAACUUUGUGAUACACUUUCAAAGAGUCGGAUUGUUUGGGAAUGCAGUCCAAAAUGGGUGGUAAAUUUCAUCUAAAGCUAAAUAUUGGCGAGAGACCGAUAGCGAACAAGUACCGUGAGGGAAAGAUGAAAAGAACUUUGAAAAGAGAGUUAAACAGUACGUGAAAUUGUCAAAAGGGAAGCGUUUGACACCAGUGUUGUUUUUCUGAAAAUCAAUUAAAGAACUGUUUAUGCUAAGCUGUUUAGACUUUAUCAGCUAAUCUGUUUAGUUUUGAGCCUUUCUUUAAUGCACUUUUCAGUUAACAAGUCAACAUCAAUUUCUUUUGCUGUAAAAAGGCUUGAGGAAGGUGGCUUGAGAUUCGUCUUAAGUGUUUAUAGCCUCUUGCCUAUGCAGUCGGAGAGAUUGAGGUCUGCAGCGUAGAUCCUUCGGGGCUAAAUGCAUUUGUGCUAAGUUAUAGCAUUUUAUAGACAACUUGUUGACUAUGAUUUGUCUUGUAGCUUACUCGCUUAUGUUAUUUUACCUACGCUUAGGAUGUUGAGUCGUAGAGCACGCAG